UGGGUUUGCAUGGGCUUUUAGUUCCGAUCGAGCAUCCGUACGAAUUCUCAACCAUGUGGUUUAGUCAUAUUAUGAUACUGUAUGUUUAAUUGAUAUCGUAUGAUCCGUGCAAGGUGCCUCCCUAGCGAAUGUUCUCGGUACCUUCAAACCAGUCGCCAACUCUACGUGUAAUCAUUAUUGCGCUUGAAAAUGGAAUACGACGAUGAACAUUCAUGUUCAAAUUUGAAUAUGGAUACGAAACUGAUAGUCCCUGCUGAUACAUAUGACAGCGAUACGACGAUAAAUAAUUUUACGGACCCAAUAAAAUGACGAAUGAUGGACAUAAUCGAAAACCAGCACGGGACCGAACUCACUCGCUUGGGCGAGUUCUGCGGAAUCAGGCGCAAAGUCAAGAUUGGGAACCUAACGCACCCGUGAGCAGAGAUUCACGAAACAAUCAUCUCUGCUCCUACCCCCGACGUUUCUUCAUGAGCGGAGGAGCGACACAGGUGCGGCGUGUAAAAAUACACUCUCACCUGACUGUUCCGAUGAAACAAACCUUUUUUGUUCAACGUUAGUUCCCCUUCCCCAAAAAUUUUAAGUUGACCGGAAUUGAACUCGAUCCAGGUUCCCGACUAUAGUCGAAAACAUGCCAUUGAAGGCGAGCGUCAUGUAUCUCCAAAACAUGAUAUUGACGUGCCGGGAGAACACCGUGUUAUGGAAGGCGAUUUCCCUGAGACUUUGUUGCCUGCAAGUCGUCUGCAAGACAGAUACUUUCACGGAGCCUCCAACUUCGACGUAAGCCACGAAGCACCUUGGAGAGGUAAACACAAACCUCCGAUAAAUUUUGGCCAUCCGCGUGGCUAUUCUGAAGAUCCUAUCAGGGAGCAUUGCCCGAGUAAUUUUGGGAAAGGCGGUGUCCGUCACUAUCGCAGGCGACUGGCAGGCCC
RNAcentral lists this long non-coding RNA (929 nucleotides) under Micromonas commoda. RNAcentral's name for it is "long non-coding RNA (MCOM_LNC000041)". The record is from RNAcentral. Lineage: Eukaryota; Viridiplantae; Chlorophyta; Mamiellophyceae; Mamiellales; Mamiellaceae.